This 408-nucleotide ribosomal RNA is filed under the name uncultured bacterium. Its description in RNAcentral is "partial 16S ribosomal RNA". It matches the Rfam family "Bacterial small subunit ribosomal RNA", at positions 28 to 526 of the family's 1533-position model. The record is from RNAcentral.
GACGAACGCUGGCGGCGUGCUUAACACAUGCAAGUCGAACGAAGUGGCGAACGGGUGAGUAACGCGUAAUCAACCUGCCCUUAAGAGGGGGACAACAGUUGGAAACGACUGCUAAUACCUCAUACUGAAGGAGGGGAUUGCGUCUGAUUGGCUAGUUGGAGGGGUAACGGCUCACCAAGGCGAUGAUCAGUAGCCGGUCUGAGAGGAUGAUCGGCCACACUGGAACUGAGACACGGUCCAGACUCCUACGGGAGGCAGCAGUAGGGAAUCUUCCGCAAUGGGCGAAAGCCUGACGGAGCAACGCCGCGUGAGUGAUGAAGGUCUUCGGGUCGUAAAACUCUGUUAUUAGGGAAGCGGUACCUAAUCAGAAAGCCACGGCUAACUCCGUGCCAGCCGCCGCGGUAAUAC